Long non-coding RNA from Papaver somniferum (opium poppy), 3298 nucleotides. RefSeq lists it as uncharacterized. The record is from RefSeq and is a predicted model, not a curated record. The transcript is spliced from 6 exons. NCBI's taxonomy places the organism in Eukaryota, Viridiplantae, Streptophyta, Magnoliopsida, Ranunculales, Papaveraceae.
CACUCGACCUAGGGUUUAAUUUCUUCGUAUCUUUUUGAUUCGAUUGUGGGCUUUACAUAUCGGUUUCGGAAAGAAUUUUCAGAAUUUUAAGGUUUUCAAAACCUAAAAUCUUCGAUUUCACUUUGAAUUCUUAUCCGAUUCACAAUCGGUGUUUCUAUCUAUAAAAUUGUUAUGAUUCUCAUCAUUUUGAACUGAAGUUCGAGAAAUUUUAUCAUCGAGGUUUAGGUUUUAUCAAUGUGAUUCAACUGAUCUUUGUAAUCGUUUGAUCAUGAUUUACAAAUUGAUUUCAGAUUUACAAUCGGUGAAUCUCAAUCUAUGUUACCCCUCCAAUAUUUCCUAACAAGAGCAAUUUCAAAUCUUAGAAUUUUAUAUCCGUUCAAUCUUUUACAUAAUACCUGUAUUACGGUACAAUUUGUUAUUGAAUGAAUACCUUAUGCAUCUGAAGUUGUGUGGAACUCAUGUAAUUGUAUUUUUGAUAAGGUUCACUCAAAGUUAUAUUUAACAGAAACGAUGAUAUCCUCUGUGAAUGAAUAUAUCUUGCCUUAAGUUUUACAUGCCUAAUGCCUUCAUUUAUAAGCAUCUACCUUACUGUUUUUAUGCUCUGGAAGUUAUUAAUUAUAUAUAUAUGUUUGAUAAUGGUGAGUAUCCAAACUCUUUAGCUGUCCUGUGAAGCUUCAUAACUGUCUGAAUGAUUCUAACUUUCAACUAUGGAUAGCAAAUGAACGAAGUCCAUUGUCCAGUAUAGGUUCUGAAGAAUCUUUUCAAUUUGAAUACCAUUAAAUGGGUUUGAUUAAAAAAAUAAUCAAUUUUUUCAAUUCUAUAGUCCAUUGCCCAAUGGCAAAAUUGUGCUACUGUGGAUGCCGUAAGUCAUUGAUUUUAAGUUAUUGGUCUGUGCUUUUUUCUUUUUUCUGUUUGAAUGUAAGUGAUCGUAAAGUUGUAGAGCUACUACAGAUGGGACAACAUCAACAUAACUUACAUCAGCUUAAUAAGAAGCUAAGUAUCACUACCUGUACUCAUAUGUUAAUGUUGUAUAUCGACUACCAGAUGGAAAGGUAUAUUGGUUACGUAUUUUCUUUUUGAGAUGAUUUUGGGCGUUUCUGGAAGUUGUCCUGGUUUGACAUUGAUGAUUGUGUUUUUAUUUGUAUGGGUCAGGUAAUUAGUGGUACGAAUCCAGCUUACUGGGUUUCUGGAAACAAACAAUGGCAAGAGCAGUGGAAAUCAGUUUAUGGAUGAGCAGAAUGCUUGUGGUGUACCUCAGCAGUUUGUGGAUGCUAAAGAAGAGAAGAUUAGGAAGAAAAUGGUUGACGGGAGUUCAAUGUUAUAUAACUAGAAGAGGAUUAUGGGGUUAGCCUAGUUUCAUCUUACUACGGGAUGAGGGACCUAUAAGAGAAACCGAUAGGAACAUUAGCAAAAUCCUGAGAAGAAAACAUGAAGAGCUGAUAUUGAGCGAGAAAUCUGGUUAAAGAAACAACAUUCCUCAUUGAAAAGAAAUCUUUUCAGGAUCUUCUCCAAAAGCAAGAAGGUGAUCAAGCAAUGUGGUAUGAAUGUUGUUUAUAAAUGUUAAGCAGAUAAUGGGGAGUAUCCAAACUCUUGAUGCAUGAUAACAUCAAAUAUUCUUUAGCUAUCAACUGAUGAAUGUCUGUCGUGUGAAACAUCUUAACUUGUAAGAUGUAACUGUCUGAAUGAUUCCAACUUUCAACUAUGGAUCCCUAAAAAAUCAAAAUUACUAAAUUCUGAGACUCUGCUGACUUGAUGCCUCUUUGACUAAAUCAUUAUUUUCUGUGAGAUUUUACUUACUACUUAGUUGUUGUGAUGUUGAAGGCUUGGAAUUGUAUCAGAAUUGUUUAACUAUUCAUCCAGUUAAGACCCAAAUCAUCAGUUCUGGUAUUCUAUCGGGAAUCGGAGAUAUUGCUGCUCAGAGAAUCACUCAUUCUAGAAGGAUAAAAGUAGAAGUAGAACCACAUCAAAAAACCCAUGAUGAUGAUGAUGAGGAUGAAAAAUUCAAGGGCAAUUGUAAAAGAGCAGCUAUCACAAGUGGGUUUGGUUUUGGAUUUGUUGGUCCAAUUGGCCACUACUGGCACUGGGUAUCAUGUAGCAGGAGCAACCUGAAAGGUAUUUACGAAUGGAGCAUCUCCUAGUUCCUGGUCUAGAAGGGUUUGAUUGAGUUACGGGAAUGUCAUUUUCUUGGAUGACAGGGGUUUAUUCUCUCUCGCAGAGAAUUGCAGUGCUCACCACCCCUACUAAUAAAUUGCACUGCAUUUUUGGGCGGUUGGUUUCUAAUUCCUGCAUCGAGUGAUACUAAUGACCUCUUAAAAGACUUUUUAAUUUAGUUGAGGUGAAUUAUAUAUGCAUCCAGAUACGACUAGCUUAAUUGAUCAAACUGCAUGCAACGUAAUUCAUGAAGGUAAACUUUGUCUCAAUGUCACUUCUAUAACUUUGUAUAUUAUGUUCUUGAGAUAACAAAAAAAAUCAAUAGAAGUUAUCUGUCCCGUCAACCUGGAGAGGUAUGUUUGCCUAGCAGAAUAUACUAAAUUUUCUUUCGACUAAUCAACUUAUUAUUGUGAAUCCCUUCUUUUCCACAAUUAUUAGGUUUUUUGAUUUUCUCAUGUACAUUUUUAUUCCGCAUUGAUGAUCUCGCGCGUCUUUGAGAUGUUGUAGAUAAUGGAUAUAAAACAGAUAUGAUAUAAAAAAUGGGCAGGAACCAAGGACAGGAAAAUUGGACUCAGUUGUUACAUUUGGUAGAACCAAGGACAGGAAAUUUCUGGACUAGAUGAUAUAAAUGGGCAAGUUUAACUUGUGGGAAUGUCUACUGUUCCUAUAGGGUCAAUGGUUGAAUUCCAUCAGGUUGUUUUAUUUUGGAUUCACGGGAGGAAAAUUGCUCAUAUAGGAACGAAAAAUCAAAUACAAGGAAAAUUACGAAAACAUGACAAUGGGGAUGAUUUUACUUUUUGUCACUUAAGCUGAAAUCUUAUUGACUUCAGGAAAGUCAUAGAGAAGUCUCAAAUGCAGAAGCAAGGAUCCAAUGUAGGUUUAAGGCCAUGGAGAAAGAAUAUACAUUGAAUUUUUCUGGUGUUGGUCAGUCCAGAAACUCACCAAGCAGAAGCAUAGAGAAGUCUUUACAUAAUGGCUGGAUGCAUGUUAUCUUUGUAAAUAACUAUAGUAACCGAAAUUUUCAGUUUAGGAACAUGCUAAGUCUGUAAGACCUGCCAAUUGAUCUUACUACACAGACCUGAGUCUGGGAACAAACUAUUAAGUUGGUUAAAAAGAAUUGGAGUAAAGGAAAUAAAAGAAAAUCCUA